Molecule: ribosomal RNA, 253 nt
Filed under: uncultured bacterium
Lineage: Bacteria
Description: partial 16S ribosomal RNA
Rfam family: Bacterial small subunit ribosomal RNA
Source: RNAcentral
UACGUAGGGACCAAGCGUUGUUCGGAUUUACUGGGCGUAAAGGGCGCGUAGGCGGCAUGACAAGUCACUUGUGAAAUCUCCGGGCUUAACUCGGAACGGCCAAGUGAAACUGUCAAGCUAGAGUGCAGAAGGGGCAAUCGAAAUUCUUGGUGUAGCGGUGAAAUGCGUAGAUAUCAAGAGGAACACCUGAGGUGAAGACGGGUUGCUGGGCUGACACUGACGCUGAGGCGCGAAAGCCAGGGGAGCAAACGGG